CGCUAGGUGGCGUUCUAUAAGAGUGACUGCUGCUUUGUCGCUUGCCCUUUGACCUCUCGCUGGGUGCCCUUCGGCAUUCACUUCCGCGUUCGCUUUGUGUCUCUCGGCAGCACAGACAGCCGCUGCAUAAACGGGGUUAAUGCCGCUCGCGGACCCAUGCCGCGCGCAACUAAACUCAAGGCUCCCGUGUCUGCGCCUCUCGCCUCUCAAUGAGCGACAAGCUUGAUGUCAGGUGACGUUGCCGUCUUGCCCGUGUGCAAAGUUUCGAGCUGACACAUAUUGCAUGUUUGUUGUGCUGGUUCUGCAUUUCCACCGGUCCCAUCUGCUUGCUGUUAAUGCCGCUUUUCUACUGCGGCUACUGCACGCUUGGUAAAUGCGAGCGACCCUCCAGUGUCUACAACUAGCUGGGGGCUACGUUUGGGGCUUUCUGCGGGAGCUACCCCACUCCCCCCUACGGAACGCUUUUCCCUCACCAAACAACGAACUGUGCCGCUCGCGUUGACUUGAGUCAAAUCAGAACUGACUGAACUGUUGCUCUAUUUUGCACCGAAAUGUUUAUGUUGUAAAAAUUGUGUUUUAUUUCCCAGGAGCUGCGGGUCAAAUGGUGGUGGUUGUGGUGGUGGUGGUCCUUCGGUGGUGGCAACUUUGGGCCUCAUUCACGAAACGUUCUUAUGUACAAAUGUGUUAUUAAAGCCUUCUUACGAAGAUUUUUGGCAUUCACGAAACGUGUUCUUAACUCCCAGUUCUUAGAUCUAAGAACAAAUUCCACGAACGCUCAGGAGGACUCUUACGCACAAGCAAAGCUUGCACUUUCAAUGCGCAAUCGCCCUCAUGAUGGAUUUUGCAACCUGAUCCCAAAAAAUGUAGUGCAAAUAAAAUAUCCCAACAAUGAUUUAUCAUCAAAACAACUCAAAUAUACUCCAUGGAUAAAUAUAUAUUCAAAUCCCAAUUCAUCAAAAAAAGGCUGGCUGGACGUGCGCUGCACAGAGAGAGAAUGUAAAGGGACCAUUAGAUUUAUUUGCUGAAAGCCACCAAUAUUUGAUGUCCGCUUCAGGCUUCAGGCUUCCCUCUCUGUUCUUGCAGGUGUGCAGGAUCAUCAGAAUAACAUCGCAAUGAAACGUGGUGUGUCUAUUGCGCACCCCCAGAUAACGACAUGCGCCCCCAGCCACGUCUUGAGCCAGAGCACGGGGCUGCUGUAUUAAUUAGGCAGCGUCUAAUCAAAUGUAACCACAGAAAAAAUACAUUGUCACACACAAACUAUGUAUUUUGACUUUAUUUUUCCAUCAUGAUUGUGUAAAUAUUUUCUAGAGUUUCCGAAAUGGUUUGGUUUCUGAUUGAUGGCCCACCUCCCGUUUCCUCCAGAUCCCUCCGGUGGUUUGGUUUUGUUGUGUUUUGGUGCUUUAUUUAGGUUGCCCCAUUUAGUUUCCCCCAUCCAUCCAGCCUAACUCCAGCUCCCUGGCUCUUUGAGGGUGAGUGUAUGUGGGUGUGUGCGUGUGAGUUUAUUGCCGCCAAAUUUUUCAGAAGACAAGAGCCACUAUUUUCAUCAGCUUGAAAUAAAAGUCUGUUUUAAGGAUUUGGAAUAAGAAUAAUAAAUAUUGUAAAUGGAGCCAGUGUCUCUGUCGCCUCAUUCAAGGUAAGCUUAUCUGUGUGCCUUAGUUUCAUUAUUCCCCUCUUAGGGGUGGCGUUGUUGAACCCCCUACCCUCCCCGCCACACAAGUCAACAAAGCACUGUGGGAUUUCUAACUGUAUAUUUAUCUUUGGAAUAAAAGAAUGGUCCAUAUUUCCAAAAUUGCUAUCCCUUUACACUAAACUUGAUGAAGUUCAUUUUUCUGUUUUUUUUAUCAUUUCACCAGAAUGUUUCCUGAGGCCCGGUGGUUGGGCACCCCCUCAUUACAGCAUGCUUGGGGAUAUGAUGUGCUCUCCGACACAUUUGAAAAUACUGUAAGAAUGACACUUUUAUUUUCAUGUCUACGUCAACAACCUUUGAAUUGUAUCGAAUUGUAUGGUAUCGUUUCUACACUGUAUCGAAUCCUGUUUUAAAAUAUAUGUUUUUUGAAUGGUAUCGUAAUCUGUGUAUCUAUAUCCAUAUCGAAUCAUCUGUCAAAGAGAUUGACAUCCCUCGUGUCCAGGAUACGUGUUACCUUCAGGAUUUUUAGUGAUCUAUUCUUUCUAAUCAAUACACUUGGGGGAAGUGAGGUUUUUUUUACAUCACGUUUCCACAGAAGGUGAAGUUUUAUUCUUGUGCUAACUAACAAUGCUCUGAAGAACAAAGAGUCUUUGUUGAAGAGUCUCGCAUGGAGUUUGAAGCGGGGUCCACCACAAGCUCUGUGUUACAUUCAAGGUACGUCGCCAUAUUUGUGACAAUUUAAGGGAAGUUUAUGGUGAUAGAUAUAGAUGAAAUAGCGCUGCACACCAAAGUACGACUUGCUAUGUCACGCUUUUGGUACUUCUUUCAGGAGAGUGAGCCACCACCGUGUCACAGCCCGUCAUCACCUUUUAACAAUCGUCAUACAGCACGUCAGUUGAAAUGAAUACAAUGUUCUUAAAAACACACAAUCGUCGUCUCGCUCGCUCUUUGGUUUUGCACAAACACAAUAAGGAGGCACUGAACACUCUGGUUUGACCGCAAUCUCAGCGUGAUGUGUUGAAAUGAGGUGGCACAAUGUGAACUGGGUUUCGCACUAAUACCUCUUUGUAGGACUGCUUAAAGGAAAAGUGCACUUUUUUUGGAAUGUUGCCCAUCAUCCACAAUCCUUAUGUGAGACAUGAACACACGUCUUUCUCUUUUCUGUGCCUUCUAAAGAUAUAAAAGCAGAUCAAAAGAGGCAAUGCACGUAAUGGGACACACCUAUUCCGCCUCCGAAAAGCACCAACAAGGCUCCAUUUCCACCAUGUGAGCUGCAUAUGAAGCACAUUGUUAUUAUUAUUGUUAUGAACAUUGUUACGCCCAAGAACUACGUUACUGGCGUAGUGACACCUCACCACACCACACAUGCUAGCUACUAGCCGGCUAGGGUCUAGCUUCACCACACACUAGCCAAAGGUAAUGCUCCAUAUUGGAGCUGUGUUGUUGUUUUUGACGCUAGGUGUAGCGUUCCCAGCUACAGUAUGUUGCUAUGUGAAAUCAAUGCACCUCAGA
This is a long non-coding RNA of Dunckerocampus dactyliophorus (ringed pipefish), 3139 nucleotides long. RefSeq lists it as uncharacterized. The record is from RefSeq and is a predicted model, not a curated record. The transcript is spliced from 3 exons. Lineage: Eukaryota; Metazoa; Chordata; Actinopteri; Syngnathiformes; Syngnathidae.